GUUUUACGUCCCCUGCCCUUUGUACACACCGCCCGUCGCUACUACCGAUUGAUGGCUCAGUGAGGCGUCCGGACUGGCCCAGAGAGGCGGGCAACUGCCACUCAGGGCCGGAAAGCUCUCCAAACUCGGUCAUUUAGAGGAAGUAAAAGUCGUAACAAGGUCUCCGUUGGUGAACCAGCGGAGGGAUCAUUA
This 192-nucleotide ribosomal RNA is filed under the name Calonectria naviculata. Its description in RNAcentral is "partial 18S ribosomal RNA". It matches the Rfam family "Eukaryotic small subunit ribosomal RNA", at positions 1642 to 1831 of the family's 1831-position model. Lineage: Eukaryota; Fungi; Ascomycota; Sordariomycetes; Hypocreales; Nectriaceae. The record is from RNAcentral.